UCCCAAGUGGACAUCCUGGGCGAGACGGCUGAGCCCCCGCGGCCCCCGCGCCGGCCGAGCACCGCAGGCGACCCAUCUCCCUGUUCCUCCGCCGCCUCUGCACCCACACCCCGACUCCUAGCCUGACCCCUCGCUCCAGGACACCCCCAGUCCCGUGCCUCGCGCAGGUGGCGCAGACGCCCCUGCCCUCCGGCGCCCCCUGCCGGGGAGAGGGAAGGCAGCGGCCGCCGAGAAGCCGAGCACAGGCGGGGAAAGAGCUCCAGCGCCGGGAAGAAGCCGGGAGCUUCCCUGAUGGUGCCGCCGCCUCCGAGUCGGGGAGGAGCUGCGAGGAGGCAGCUGGGCAGGAGCCUGGGUCCGCUGCUGCUGCUCCUGGCGCUGGGACACACGUGGAGCUACCGAGAGGAGCCCGAGGACGGCGACAGAGAGAUCUGCUCAGAAAACAAGAUCGCCACGACGAAAUACCCGUGUCUGAAGCCUACGGGGGAGCUCACCACGUGUUUCAGG
Non-coding RNA from Leptonychotes weddellii (Weddell seal), 504 nucleotides. Lineage: Eukaryota; Metazoa; Chordata; Mammalia; Carnivora; Phocidae. The record is from RefSeq and is a predicted model, not a curated record.